Molecule: ribosomal RNA, 506 nt
Filed under: Pichia membranifaciens
Lineage: Eukaryota; Fungi; Ascomycota; Pichiomycetes; Pichiales; Pichiaceae
Description: partial large subunit ribosomal RNA
Rfam family: Eukaryotic large subunit ribosomal RNA
Source: RNAcentral
GGCACGAGUUGUAGAGUGUAGGCGGGAGUCUUUGUGGAGCACGGUGUCCAAGUCCCUUGGAACAGGGCGCCUGAGAGGGUGAGAGCCCCGUGGGGUGCCGUGCGAAGCUUUGAGGCCCUGCUGACGAGUCGAGUUGUUUGGGAAUGCAGCUCCAAGUGGGUGGUAAAUUCCAUCUAAGGCUAAAUACUGGCGAGAGACCGAUAGCGAACAAGUACUGUGAAGGAAAGAUGAAAAGCACUUUGAAAAGAGAGUGAAACAGCACGUGAAAUUGUUGAAAGGGAAGGGUAUUGGGCCCGACAUGGGGAGUGCGCACCGCUGUCUCUUGUAGGCGGCGCUCUGGGCGCUCUCUGGGCCAGCAUCGGUUCUUGCUGCGGGAGAAUGGGUGCCGGAAAGUGGCUCUUCGGAGUGUUAUAGCCGGCGCCAGAUACCGCGUGCGGGGACCGAGGACUGCGGCUUCUGUCUCGGAUGCUGGCACAACGGCGCAAUACCGCCCGUCUUGAAACACG